Molecule: ribosomal RNA, 253 nt
Filed under: uncultured bacterium
Lineage: Bacteria
Description: partial 16S ribosomal RNA
Rfam family: Bacterial small subunit ribosomal RNA
Source: RNAcentral
GACAGAGGUGGCAAACGUUGUUCGGAUUUAUUGGGUGUAAAAGGCAGGUAAACGGUCGAGCAAGUCUGAUGUGAAAUCCCAUAGCUCAACCAUGGAACUGCACUGGAAACUGCCUAACUUGAGUAUCGGAAAGGUGAAAGGAAUUCUCGGUAUAAGGGUGAAAUCUGUAAAUAUCGAAAGGAACACCAAUGGCGAAGGCGCUUCACUGGCCGAUUACUGACGCUGAGCUACGAAAGCAAAAAAAGCAAACAGG